This 472-nucleotide long non-coding RNA is filed under the name Pongo abelii (Sumatran orangutan). Its description in RNAcentral is "lincRNA". The record is from RNAcentral. Lineage: Eukaryota; Metazoa; Chordata; Mammalia; Primates; Hominidae.
AGUGGUCUGUGAUGACAAAAAAAAAGGUAAUUUCUCUCAAGAUCCAACCGAAGCUAUUCUAUAUACACAAGCUAGAAUCAGCCAAAAACAUAUAAGGAGACUCCACCAGGAGUGGGGAGUUCUCGGGAAAGCUUUUGCUUCAGAAAAAAGAUCAAAGUACACAGGAGAGCUGUCUGGUGCCAUUCCUUGAGCAUGUGAGAGACUGUGUCACUGGGAGCAGCAGUUACCUGUGGUCAUAAGUUGAGAUGACUGGAUGAAAUGCUAAAAUGUUGAGAAGACAAUGCAUAGGAGUGAAUGAGACAGAAAGCAAGACCAUCAGGAUGACUAAGAAGAGCAAGUACAACAUGGCUGAGACUAAGUGUCCAGGGAGUUGAGAAUAAGUGGCCUAUUGUCAUGUCCUAUAUAAGUAGAGUAUAUGGAUGGGAAGCCAAGAAUACACCAACAAAUAAAAUAUUGACUAUAUCGGUCAAGG